This 478-nucleotide ribosomal RNA is filed under the name Veillonella dispar. Its description in RNAcentral is "bacterial SSU rRNA". It matches the Rfam family "Bacterial small subunit ribosomal RNA", at positions 28 to 475 of the family's 1533-position model. The record is from RNAcentral. Lineage: Bacteria; Bacillati; Bacillota; Negativicutes; Veillonellales; Veillonellaceae.
GACGAACGCUGGCGGCGUGCUUAACACAUGCAAGUCGAACGAAGAGCGAUGGAAGCUUGCUUCUAUCAAUCUUAGUGGCGAACGGGUGAGUAACGCGCAAUCAACCUGCCCUUCAGAGGGGGACAACAGUUGGAAACGACUGCUAAUACCGCAUACGAUCUAAUCUCGGCAUCGGGGAUAGAUGAAAGGUGGCCUCUAUGUAUAAGCUAUCACUGAAGGAGGGGAUUGCGUCUGAUUAGCUAGUUGGAGGGGUAACGGCCCACCAAGGCGAUGAUCAGUAGCCGGUCUGAGAGGAUGAACGGCCACAUUGGGACUGAGACACGGCCCAGACUCCUACGGGAGGCAGCAGUGGGGAAUCUUCCGCAAUGGACGAAAGUCUGACGGAGCAACGCCGCGUGAGUGAUGACGGCCUUCGGGUUGUAAAGCUCUGUUAAUCGGGACGAAAGGCCUUCUUGCGAAUAGUGAGAAGGAAUGACGG